RNAcentral lists this ribosomal RNA (497 nucleotides) under uncultured bacterium. Its description in RNAcentral is "partial 16S ribosomal RNA". It matches the Rfam family "Bacterial small subunit ribosomal RNA", at positions 28 to 507 of the family's 1533-position model. The record is from RNAcentral.
GAUGAACGCUGGCGGCGUGCCUAAUACAUGCAAGUCGAGCGAACGGACGAGAAGCUUGCUUCUCUGAUGUUAGCGGCGGACGGGUGAGUAACACGUGGAUAACCUACCUAUAAGACUGGGAUAACUUCGGGAAACCGGAGCUAAUACCGGAUAAUAUUUUGAACCGCAUGGUUCAAAAGUGAAAGACGGUCUUGCUGUCACUUAUAGAUGGAUCCGCGCUGCAUUAGCUAGUUGGUAAGGUAACGGCUUACCAAGGCAACGAUGCAUAGCCGACCUGAGAGGGUGAUCGGCCACACGGGAACUGAGACACGGUCCAGACUCCUACGGGAGGCAGCAGUAGGGAAUCUUCCGCAGUGGGCGAAAGCCUGACGGAGCAACGCCGCGUGAGUGAUGACGGUCUUCGGAUCGUAAAACUCUGUUAUUAGGGAAGAACAUAUGUGUAAGUAACUGUGCACAUCUUGACGGUACCUAAUCAGAAAGCCCCGGCUAACUACGUG